GAAAUGCGAUAAGUAAUGUGAAUUGCAGAAUUCAGUGAAUCAUCGAAUCUUUGAACGCACAUUGCGCCCGCCAGUAUUCUGGCGGGCAUGCCUGCUCGAGCGUCAUUACAACCCUCAGGCCCCCGGGCCUGGCGUUGGGGAUCGGCGGAAGCCCCCUGCGGGCACAACGCCGUCCCCCAAAUACAGUGGCGGUCCCGCCGCAGCUGCCAUUGCGUAGUAGCUAACACCUCGCAACUGGAGAGCGGCGCGGCCACGCCGUAAAACACCCAACUUCUGAAUGUUGACCUCGAAUCAGGUAGGAAUACCCGCUGAACUUAAGC
RNAcentral lists this unclassified non-coding RNA (320 nucleotides) under plant metagenome. Its description in RNAcentral is "partial contains 5.8S ribosomal RNA, internal transcribed spacer 2, and large subunit ribosomal RNA". The stretch from base 1 to 105 matches the Rfam family "5.8S ribosomal RNA", at positions 50 to 154 of the family's 154-position model. The record is from RNAcentral.